ACGAACGCUGGCGGCAUGCCUCACCCAUGCAAGUCGAACGAGACCUUCGGGUCUAGUGGCGCACGGGUGCGUCACGCGUGGGAACCUGCCCUUAGGUUCGGAAUAACUCCCCGAAAGGGGUGCUAAUACCGGAUAAUGUCUUCGGACCAAAGAUUUAUCGCCUUUGGAUGGGCCCGCGUUGGAUUAGCUAGUAGGUAGGGUAAAAGCCUACCAAGGCGACGAUCCAUAGCUGGUCUGAGAGGAUGAUCAGCCACACUGGGACUGAGACACGGCCCAGACUCCUACGGGAGGCAGCAGUGGGGAAUAUUGGACAAUGGGCGAAAGCCUGAUCCAGCAAUGCCGCGUGAGUGAUGAAGGCCUUAGGGUUGUAAAGCUCUUUUACCCGGGAUGAUAAUGACAGUACCGGGAGAAUAAGCUCCGGCUAACUCCGUG
RNAcentral lists this ribosomal RNA (432 nucleotides) under uncultured bacterium. RNAcentral describes it as "partial 16S ribosomal RNA". It matches the Rfam family "Bacterial small subunit ribosomal RNA", at positions 29 to 507 of the family's 1533-position model. The record is from RNAcentral.